Molecule: ribosomal RNA, 320 nt
Filed under: uncultured Prevotella sp.
Lineage: Bacteria; Pseudomonadati; Bacteroidota; Bacteroidia; Bacteroidales; Prevotellaceae
Description: bacterial SSU rRNA
Rfam family: Bacterial small subunit ribosomal RNA
Source: RNAcentral
GAUGAACGCUAGCUACAGGCUUAACACAUGCAAGUCGCGGGGCAGCAUAAAGGAAGCUUGCUUCCUUUGAUGGCGACCGGCGCACGGGUGCGUAACGCGUAUCCAACCUUCCCCUUGGUAGGGCACAGCCCGGCGAAAGUCGGAUUAAUUCCCUAUGUUGUCCGAUGCAGGCAUCUAAGUUGGACGAAAGAUUCAUCGCCGAGGGAUGGGGAUGCGUAGGAUUAGGUAGUCGGCGGGGUAACGGCCCACCGAGCCAUCGAUCCUUAGGGGUUCUGAGAGGAAGGUCCCCCACACUGGAACUGAGACACGGUCCAGACUCC